This 292-nucleotide ribosomal RNA is filed under the name uncultured Bacteroidota bacterium. RNAcentral describes it as "uncultured Bacteroidetes bacterium partial 16S ribosomal RNA". Lineage: Bacteria; Pseudomonadati; Bacteroidota. The record is from RNAcentral.
GGACUACCAGGGUUUCUAAUCCUGUUUGCUCCCCACGCUUUCGUGCCUCAGUGUCAGUUACAGUUUUGUAAGCUGCCUUCGCAAUUGGUGUUCUGUGUCAUAUCUAAGCAUUUCACCGCUACACGACACAUUCCGCUUACAUCAAAUGUACUCAAGAAUAACAGUAUCAAUGGCAGUUCUACAGUUGAGCUGCAGUAUUUCACCACUGACUUGUCAUUCCACCUACGCACCCUUUAAACCCAGUGAAUCCGGAUAACGCUUGGAUCCUCCGUAUUACCGCGGCUGCUGGCAC